CUAAAAAAAAAGAAACCUCACGAUCGAGGCUGCCCUCAUCUAUUCGCUACAAUGACGGGAGCCAUGCCGCCGCCACCACCGCCACCGCGAUCCCUGAAACGCCGCCGAUCUAUUCGCUACAUCGAUGGAAACCAGGCGCUAGCCACGGAUCCCUUUGCCGGCGCCGAGCAGUCAUCGAGGAGCCGGCGCCGAGGUCCUCAAGGAGGCGCCGCCGCCAUCGUUGCAGGCCUCCGGGUUGCCAUCGGGACACCGCUGCCGAGAUCCGCCUUCGCCUUCGUCCGGCAGAGGCGGCGGAAGGCAGCCGGGAGGGGAAGCGCACAACGACCCAGAAGACAUCCUCCCUCACGCGCUCAUCGUCUUGCUCGAUCUACCCGAGGGCUGCCGAUGGGCGCCUCGGCGGCGGCCACGGCGAGAUCUGCGUCUGGGACGUGACAAUCCCUCCACCCCGGUCGCCGGUGAGAUUUCACUGCCUCGAUCCUCCCGGUCCCAGUUUAUCAGGUCAUCCCUGACAAGAGGGAGCGAGAGAUGCUACUGCCGGGCACGUGGACGCACGUGGGGCGGCUGCCUGCGAGCAGGGCCGCGUCCUCUCUCCUUCGUCGACCAUGGCCUCCGAACCACUCCGUUGUACCUCUGCGCCCAAGUGUCCGCUCCUCGAUCUUCAACAGAUUUGUUAUCGCCUCUCUUCCGUUGCAGGUAGGGUACACUUGAUGUUUCAUGUUUGGUGAAAGAAAAGGAGCUUCCUAUGUUGAUUUCAGGCAAGACAUACAUUCUGCCAUGCAUUAGUAGAUCAAUUGCUUCUUUGUGUAGGGGAACGAUUAGUGAUUGAAUCUCUCUGUCUCGUUUCUUGAUUAUCCAAUUAAUUUACCCUCAUCUAUGCAUAAAUUGGUCCGAUUGAGUUAUGCCAUUUUUCUAAUAAUCUAUAUUGGUUCUAUAUAUGACUAGAACAAUAUGAUACGAUGCACAUCGGUCCGCUUUACUGGCAGCUAUCCUUCAAGAUUGAGGGGAGGCACUCUUGUAGACCUGCUCAAUGUUCGAGGAGAUACGGCUGACUAAACAAGGCUAGGCGGGGCGGUCGAUUUGCAGCGGGGCGGCGUGAGGGAUAUCUCGUUUGGAAGAGCAGGUGGAGUACAAGGUCGCGUCGAGGUCCAAUGACCGGAAUAUCGGCUCCACAGAGGACGCCAUCACAGAUCUUGCUUGCCUUAUCGUGACAUCUUCUUUGCCAUGUGCCAUGGAAGUCUUGCUGGGGCUUGGCAGCCUUGCAUGUUUAUACCUUAAACAUGUUCCAAGACUGCUCAACGACAAGUUGAAUUUUGACCCUCCCUGAAUGGUCUCUACAAGGCUACAUGGGCCAUGGGCUGAAGUAUAUCAUGAGAUUUACCCAAUCCACCUUACAUUCAACUAUGCACAAUAGCGAUGCCAUGUUUUUAAAUAAUCUAUAUAUAUGCUUCUACAUUGAAAUCCAAUUUCAUCAUAAUUUUGCUAUUUGAUAAUAGUAUAACACUGGUAGACGUAUGGGUUGUCCCUCUAAAAUUUAAGCUUCGUCUCCAUGCUUGCUUUUGUCUAUUGGUACCCUGAUUUUCUUAGAAAGGUGGUCUUGUGAUUACUGAGUUAACAGCUGCUGUCGAAAUAUUCAGAAAAUUCAGUUUUAUUUGAGUCGUAGCUGUAGUUGUUUGAACUCAGUUUCGUCAGCUUGUUUUCUUCAGUUAAACUUUAGCAGAAACAUACCAAGUUGUGACGAUGUCCUAGAUUGUUAGGAUAGAUCCUUGCAAUGAUUGGAUCGUGGGAUGGCACGGCACAACGGUCAUCACAGCGAUGAUGCAGAGAGGUGUGCAAGGAGUUCUAGGAUGGUGUCACUCACAACUCGGAUAUUUCAUGCUUUUCCGUUUUUCAGUUAGCAUUGUAAUCACUCAAUAAAUAGAGGAGGGAGAAGAAAAGCUGUAGACUGAACACAACACAAAACAUCGUCUCUCUCUCUCUCUCUGUUAGCUCUCCAAUUUAUGAAAUAUUCAGUUUUCAGUGGUUGCCCUUUUUAUAUAUUUUAUUUUAACUAAAUUCACAUCUCCAUGGUUCAGCCCGUCUUUCCGGCUUGAGGCUUAUCAAACACUUUUGGGUUCAAGAUUCAGGACAAACAAGGCAAGAUGCACAAAUUUAACUGUGGUAUGCACACUCAUUUUGGUGUCACACAACUGGAGUUAUAUCAUCGCUCUUUCUUUUCCCAUGUCAUGCCCAGUAAUUUAUACUAUUGUUCAAGCUCCAUUGAUAAAUCGAACCUACCUCAAAUUCUGUACGAAGACGAUGAUCACAAUAAAGUCAUGCUCUCAUCGGAUUCCGACCAUAUAGCAACUGUGUACCAUGCAAAGCAAAUCGCUUGGAAGGUAAUAAGAGGCAAAUUCAACCUUCACUCUACAAAAUCUGCAACACAUCAUAUUAAUUGGAAACUCAAAUCUUGAUUGCAAAAGUUAAGUCUGUGCUAUAAAUGCAGGCAAUACAAAAGGUAGGAAGAACUUAGGAAGGUUCCUUUUUUGUCCUCAUAAAGGGACAAUUUAACUAAGUUGCUCUCUGCUGGUUGUUUGAAGACAAAUUAUAAUGUGUAACCUACCAAAUACUAAAUUAAACUUUAUCCUCAGUUCCAUGAUUUUCCAUGUAGUAGUGUAUGCGGGAAUUAUAUUGAUGAUUUCAUUUUACCUUCAUAUUUGCUUAAUUUUCUUACCAAACACAAAAGCUCUAUGUCUUGAUGUGUUCAUAGAAGCGAAGAUAUAACUCAUGAUGCAAGCCUAAUACGCUGAUAAUAUUUUUAUGGUUCAAUGUUCCUAUGAGGGGAGUGGGUGGGGACGGCAAUGAGUGUCUUAACAUAUCAAGCAGUUGCCGCCUAUGAGGGGAGUGAGUGGAGAUGGCCAGAUCUGUGCGGCGGAGGGGCGAUGGAAGCUCGAAUGGAAGAUUACUCGCCAGCAUCGGAGCAAUUUAUUGGCCAGGUCAACCAUAAAGCUCCUACAUAGACAUGAAGGAUUGUCAUUAUUAAGAAGUUCAUUUUUUGGAAAUUCAGCAUGUGACACUGUAAAAAUAGAAAGAAGCUAGAAAAUUGUCUCUGGCCGAUUUCAUAUGUAUCUGUGAGCAUUGCUAAUUUCUGUCAACAUGAACGAGAUCUGGACUAUUUAUAUAGCUACCAUGUGCUCAACAAAUUGUCUGAUAAU
Triticum aestivum (bread wheat) is the source of this 3191-nucleotide long non-coding RNA. RefSeq lists it as uncharacterized. The record is from RefSeq and is a predicted model, not a curated record. Lineage: Eukaryota; Viridiplantae; Streptophyta; Magnoliopsida; Poales; Poaceae. The transcript has 6 exons.